GCUAGGCAUAGUGGCACAUGCCUGUAGUCCCAGCUACUCAGGAGGCAGAGGUAGGAGGAUCACUUGAGCCCAGGAGUUCUGGGCUAUAGUGUGCUAUGCCAAUCGGGUGUCCAAACUAAGUUUGGCAUCAAUAUGGUGAUCUCCCAGGAGUGGGGGACCACCAGUUUGCCUAAGGAGGGGUGAACUGGCCCAGGUUGGAAAUGGAGCAGGUCAAAACUCCUGUGCUGAUCAGUAGUGGGAUCGCACCUGUGAAUAGCCACUGCACUCCAGCCUGGGCAACAUAGCGAGACCCCAUCUCU
This 299-nucleotide signal recognition particle RNA is filed under the name Saimiri boliviensis boliviensis (Bolivian squirrel monkey). RNAcentral's name for it is "Metazoan signal recognition particle RNA (ENSSBOG00000006346.1)". It matches the Rfam family "Metazoan signal recognition particle RNA". From Rfam's summary of the family: The signal recognition particle (SRP) is a universally conserved ribonucleoprotein. It is involved in the co-translational targeting of proteins to membranes. Lineage: Eukaryota; Metazoa; Chordata; Mammalia; Primates; Cebidae. The record is from RNAcentral.